AGCCUCUAGGUUACCCUCAUCCAUAGGAAUCACAUCUGCAUUCCUGUAACUGCAUAAGGAGAAAGAAGGUGGAAGCACUCUACUUUAGGCCAAGAAACAAUGACCACAGCAGCAAAACAUUGGUUUCAGAAAGAGUUUUCAUCGGAACCCUUGGUUCAAGUCCUAGAACUCACAGCUGAGGAUGCUAUGAAAACCCCUUGAGGAAACAAAGGCACCUUGGGGGCCAUUGAGAACUCCUGACGAAGAGGGCUCAGCUGCCAGACCUGCUCAAGAAAGACCUCAGAAAUCUCUAUGGGGCUGUCAGAAGAAAAGGUUUGAAAAGGGUCUGGAGAGACUGAAAUUUGUCUGCCUUGGACUUUUCUUUUGACAAUUCACAUCCAACUUAAGCAGAAUCAUUGUUUAUUCUUAUUAUGCCAGGUUUCCUUUUCUGGUCUGCAGGUUCUCUAGGGUUUCAUAGGCUAGUAGUUGGAAUUUUCAUAUUUCCAAAGCAUUGGGGAUUUUGCAAAAACAAAAUCUAAAGGAUAUUCAGCAGCACAGUUUACUUAGGAGGUUUUAAUCAUAAUAAUCUGCAUAAUGUAUGAGAAUUUCUACCUCAGCUGCCUCCUUUCUUUCUCUUUCGUGUCUGGGAAAAAGCCAGGGAUUUUUCCCUUCCUCUGAUUUAAAUACCUUAUAAAAUUUUGGUGGAAGCA
This 689-nucleotide long non-coding RNA is filed under the name Homo sapiens (human). RNAcentral describes it as "novel transcript". The record is from RNAcentral. Lineage: Eukaryota; Metazoa; Chordata; Mammalia; Primates; Hominidae.